Molecule: ribosomal RNA, 305 nt
Filed under: uncultured bacterium
Lineage: Bacteria
Description: bacterial SSU rRNA
Rfam family: Bacterial small subunit ribosomal RNA
Source: RNAcentral
UUGUCCUACGGGACGCAGCAGUCGGGAAUAUUGCGCAAUGGAGGAAACUCUGACGCAGUGACGCCGCGUGCAGGAAGAAGGUUUUCGGAUUGUAAACUGCUUUAGACAGGGAAGAAAAAAGACAGUACCUGUAGAAUAAGCUCCGGCUAACUACGUGCCAGCAGCCGCGGUAAUACGUAGGGAGCGAGCGUUGUCCGGAAUUACUGGGUGUAAAGGGAGCGUAGGCGGGACGGCAAGUCAGAUGUGAAAACUGAGGGCUCAACCUUCAGACUGCAUUUGAAACUGCUGUUCUUGAGUGAAGUAGG